RNAcentral lists this ribosomal RNA (253 nucleotides) under uncultured bacterium. RNAcentral describes it as "partial 16S ribosomal RNA". It matches the Rfam family "Bacterial small subunit ribosomal RNA", at positions 524 to 776 of the family's 1533-position model. The record is from RNAcentral.
GACGGAGGAUGCAAGCGUUAUCCGGAAUGAUUGGGCGUAAAGCGUUCGCAGGUGGCUGUUCAAGUCUGCUGUCAAAGACCGGGGCUUAACCCUAGAAAGGCAGUGGAAACUGGACGGCUGGAGUGCAGUAUGGGUAGAGGGAAUUCCCAGUGUAGCGGUGAAAUGCGUAGAGAUUGGGAAGAACACCGGUGGCGAAAGCGCUCUGCUGGACUGCAACUGACACUGAGGGACGAAAGCUAGGGGAGCGAAAGGG